Molecule: transfer RNA, 63 nt
Filed under: Taenia solium (pork tapeworm)
Lineage: Eukaryota; Metazoa; Platyhelminthes; Cestoda; Cyclophyllidea; Taeniidae
Description: tRNA-Gly
Source: RNAcentral
AUACUGUUAGUAUAAUUUAUUAUACUUCUUUUCCAAAGAAGAGAUCUAUUUUUAGAUGGUGUA